CUGCACUAGGCAGUCGCUGGCGCAAGCCAGAGGAAAGUCCGGACACGCGUGAUUCAGUUCAAAAGGUAGCGGGUAACGCCCGCCGGGGUAAUCCCAGGGAUGCGAACAGAGACGUCCGAGCAGAGAUGCGAGGAGAUCCGUCAGGAUCAAUCGAUAUGGAGACAUAUCGGGUGCAACGGCAAAAUUCCUACCUGCGUGCAAGGUCGUGUCACCGAAAGGUGAAGAACCGCUUGAGGUGAAUGGCAACAUUCAUCCCAGAUAAAUGACUGUCCCCGACAGAAUCCGGCUUACGGUGCAGCGCA
This 302-nucleotide RNase P RNA is filed under the name Candidatus Kaiserbacteria bacterium RIFCSPHIGHO2_01_FULL_56_24. RNAcentral's name for it is "RNase P RNA component class A". It matches the Rfam family "Bacterial RNase P class A". From Rfam's summary of the family: Ribonuclease P (RNase P) is a ubiquitous endoribonuclease, found in archaea, bacteria and eukarya as well as chloroplasts and mitochondria. Its best characterised activity is the generation of mature 5'-ends of tRNAs by cleaving the 5'-leader elements of precursor-tRNAs. The record is from RNAcentral. Lineage: Bacteria; Candidatus Kaiseribacteriota.